Molecule: ribosomal RNA, 1807 nt
Filed under: Salmonella enterica subsp. enterica serovar Newport
Lineage: Bacteria; Pseudomonadati; Pseudomonadota; Gammaproteobacteria; Enterobacterales; Enterobacteriaceae
Description: partial 23S ribosomal RNA
Rfam family: Bacterial large subunit ribosomal RNA
Source: RNAcentral
GUGAAGAGGGAAACAACCCAGACCGCCAGCUAAGGUCCCAAAGUCAUGGUUAAGUGGGAAACGAUGUGGGAAGGCCCAGACAGCCAGGAUGUUGGCUUAGAAGCAGCCAUCAUUUAAAGAAAGCGUAAUAGCUCACUGGUCGAGUCGGCCUGCGCGGAAGAUGUAACGGGGCUAAACCAUGCACCGAAGCUGCGGCAGCGACACUGUGUGUUGUUGGGUAGGGGAGCGUUCUGUAAGCCUGUGAAGGUGGCCUGUGAGGGUUGCUGGAGGUAUCAGAAGUGCGAAUGCUGACAUAAGUAACGAUAAAGCGGGUGAAAAGCCCGCUCGCCGGAAGACCAAGGGUUCCUGUCCAACGUUAAUCGGGGCAGGGUGAGUCGACCCCUAAGGCGAGGCCGAAAGGCGUAGUCGAUGGGAAACAGGUUAAUAUUCCUGUACUUGGUGUUACUGCGAAGGGGGGACGGAGAAGGCUAUGUUGGCCGGGCGACGGUUGUCCCGGUUUAAGCGUGUAGGCUGGUUUUCCAGGCAAAUCCGGAAAAUCAAGGCUGAGGCGUGACGACGAGGCACUACGGUGCUGAAGCAACAAAUGCCCUGCUUCCAGGAAAAGCCUCUAAGCAUCAGGUAACAUCAAAUCGUACCCCAAACCGACACAGGUGGUCAGGUAGAGAAUACCAAGGCGCUUGAGAGAACUCGGGUGAAGGAACUAGGCAAAAUGGUGCCGUAACUUCGGGAGAAGGCACGCUGACACGUAGGUGAAGUGAUUUACUCAUGGAGCUGAAGUCAGUCGAAGAUACCAGCUGGCUGCAACUGUUUAUUAAAAACACAGCACUGUGCAAACACGAAAGUGGACGUAUACGGUGUGACGCCUGCCCGGUGCCGGAAGGUUAAUUGAUGGGGUCAGCGCAAGCGAAGCUCCUGAUCGAAGCCCCGGUAAACGGCGGCCGUAACUAUAACGGUCCUAAGGUAGCGAAAUUCCUUGUCGGGUAAGUUCCGACCUGCACGAAUGGCGUAAUGAUGGCCAGGCUGUCUCCACCCGAGACUCAGUGAAAUUGAACUCGCUGUGAAGAUGCAGUGUACCCGCGGCAAGACGGAAAGACCCCGUGAACCUUUACUAUAGCUUGACACUGAACAUUGAGCCUUGAUGUGUAGGAUAGGUGGGAGGCUUUGAAGUGUGGACGCCAGUCUGCAUGGAGCCGACCUUGAAAUACCACCCUUUAAUGUUUGAUGUUCUAACGUGGACCCGUAAUCCGGGUUGCGGACAGUGUCUGGUGGGUAGUUUGACUGGGGCGGUCUCCUCCUAAAGAGUAACGGAGGAGCACGAAGGUUGGCUAAUCCUGGUCGGACAUCAGGAGGUUAGUGCAAUGGCAUAAGCCAGCUUGACUGCGAGCGUGACGGCGCGAGCAGGUGCGAAAGCAGGUCAUAGUGAUCCGGUGGUUCUGAAUGGAAGGGCCAUCGCUCAACGGAUAAAAGGUACUCCGGGGAUAACAGGCUGAUACCGCCCAAGAGUUCAUAUCGACGGCGGUGUUUGGCACCUCGAUGUCGGCUCAUCACAUCCUGGGGCUGAAGUAGGUCCCAAGGGUAUGGCUGUUCGCCAUUUAAAGUGGUACGCGAGCUGGGUUUAGAACGUCGUGAGACAGUUCGGUCCCUAUCUGCCGUGGGCGCUGGAGAACUGAGGGGGGCUGCUCCUAGUACGAGAGGACCGGAGUGGACGCAUCACUGGUGUUCGGGUUGUCAUGCCAAUGGCACUGCCCGGUAGCUAAAUGCGGAAGAGAUAAGUGCUGAAAGCAUCUAAGCACGAAACUUGCCCCGA